Molecule: non-coding RNA, 113 nt
Organism: Brassica rapa (field mustard)
Lineage: Eukaryota; Viridiplantae; Streptophyta; Magnoliopsida; Brassicales; Brassicaceae
Source: Rfam
AGGUGCAAUGGUACCAGCACUAAUACACUGGAUCUCAUCAAAACUCUGCAGUUGCUUGGACGAGAGUAGUAUUAAGAUGGGUGACCUCCCAGAAAAUCUUCGUGUUACAUUCC